GAGUUUGAUCAUGGCUCAGGAUGAACGCUAGCGGCAGGCUUAACACAUGCAAGUCGAGGGGUAACAGGGUAGCAAUAUCGCUGACGACCGGCGCACGGGUGAGUAACGCGUAUGCAACCUUCCUUUAACUGGGGGAUAGCCCGGAGAAAUUCGGAUUAAUACCCCAUAACAUCACAGAAAGGCAUCUUUUUGUGAUUAAAGCUCCGGCGGUUAAAGAUGGGCAUGCGUGCCAUUAGCUAGUUGGUGAGGUAACGGCUCACCAAGGCUACGAUGGCUAGGGGGUCUGAGAGGAUGAUCCCCCACACUGGUACUGAGACACGGACCAGACUCCUACGGGAGGCAGCAGUGAGGAAUAUUGGGCAAUGGGCGCAAGCCUGACCCAGCCAUGCCGCGUGAAGGAUGAAUGCCCUAUGGGUUGUAAACUUCUUUUGUACGGGAAGAAACUCUCGGUCGUGACCGGGAUUGACUGUACCGUGCGAAUAAGCAUCGGCUAACUCCGUGCCAGCAGCCGCGGUAAUACGGAGGAUGCAAGCGUUAUCCGGAUUUAUUGGGUUUAAAGGGUGCGUAGGCGGAAUAAUUAGUCAGUGGUGAAAGCCUGCGGCUUAACCGUAGAACUGCCAUUGAUACUGUUAUUCUUGAGUAUAGUUGAGGUGGGCGGAAUGUGUAAUGUAGCGGUGAAAUGCUU
This 685-nucleotide ribosomal RNA is filed under the name uncultured Bacteroidota bacterium. RNAcentral's name for it is "bacterial SSU rRNA". It matches the Rfam family "Bacterial small subunit ribosomal RNA", at positions 9 to 691 of the family's 1533-position model. Lineage: Bacteria; Pseudomonadati; Bacteroidota. The record is from RNAcentral.